GUGGGGAAUAUUGGACAAUGGGCGAAAGCCUGAUCCAGCCAUGCCGCGUGUGUGAAGAAGGUCUUCGGAUUGUAAAGCACUUUAAGUUGGGAGGAAGGGCAGUAAGUUAAUACCUUGCUGUUUUGACGUUACCGACAGAAUAAGCACCGGCUAACUUCGUGCCAGCAGCCGCGGUAAUACGAAGGGUGCAAGCGUUAAUCGGAAUUACUGGGCGUAAAGCGCGCGUAGGUGGUUUUGUAAGUUGGAGGUGAAAUCCCCGGGCUCAACCUGGGAACUGCCUCCAAAACUGCAUGACUAGAGUACGGUAGAGGGUAGUGGAAUUUCCUGUGUAGCGGUAAAAUGCGUAGAUAUAGGAAGGAACACCAGUGGCGAAGGCGACUACCUGGACUGAUACUGACACUGAGGUGCGAAAGCGUGGGGAGCAAACAGGAUUAGAUACCCGGGUAGUCC
RNAcentral lists this ribosomal RNA (450 nucleotides) under uncultured bacterium. RNAcentral describes it as "partial 16S ribosomal RNA". It matches the Rfam family "Bacterial small subunit ribosomal RNA", at positions 354 to 796 of the family's 1533-position model. The record is from RNAcentral.